GCUGCAGUGGGGACCCAAAGUCUGGGGGCUAAAUGGACAGAUUUAUAUUUUAUAUUAUUAACUAUGAAUCCUGCAGCUACAAGCAUUGGUGAUACAGGCUCUUGGAGUUGGAAUGGUGUGCUGUCUGCUGGGGUAGAUCUCUGAGUACUGCUCUCAGAUCUGCAGUAUGGUGCGUGUCAGCCAGAAGGUUCAAGCUGAGAUCACGUGCACCCUGCUUCUUCUUGGGGAUGCUUCUGGCCACCUUCUUUCCUAGGGCCAUGCAGUUCUUCCCCUCAUAAUAAGGUGACCUUGGAGGAAGGUCCAGAGGGGACAGGUGGCUGUAGUCAUGCCCAGGUGGCCCUCUGAGUGGUCAGUGAGGAUCAGGACACCUCAACUGCUCACACAGCAGAAAACAGUUCCAGCUGGCUGCUUUCCCAAGGCAACUCCACAGCAUCCACACCUUCAACUGAGCACACGCUACAUAACAGGCACAGAACAUUCCAAUGAGCAAGACGACCCUACUGAGGAUGAAUAUGUUGGCUGUAUGGCCAUGCAGUGCCAGAGAGUUUCUGUGCCAUAGAACCUGUUUGAGCUACUUUCAAGGAAAAAUGUACCUUUCUGAAGGAGAAAGGUGACAUAAGAUGUUCUCACCUAUGCGUGUGCAUGCCCACCUUAUAGCAGAUUCCUGCAAACAGUUGUGCAGAGCUGGCAGAGAAGGGGUGAACUGUGGUGCAGGAUCAAGCAGCCAGAGCACUGAAUUCACAGCCAAAAAAACCCAACAUGUCUACGUUUAGAAAUGAGAAAUGCACCCUGGCUUCUCUGCUUGCGGAACCCAAUUGCAGUGGUUCUCAAGUAGAACAUCUGCUGCCAUCAGCCCGGAGCAAGUCGAGGGCAGAAGCCUGACAUCCCCUUCCUCCCCGUUAGGAGCUGCUCGGGAAAGGGUACAAGAGCGCGGUAUGCGUGGAGUGAUAUUUUCCCAGAGCAACCUUUUAGCCUCAAGCCAUCUGAAGUUCCCAGGCUUCCUGAACCGAAGAUGGAAUCUCGGCAGCGAGGAAAUAAUUCCAAGCGUUUCCGUGCCGUCAUCCCUGGAGCCGCCGCCAGAGGGCGCUCGUAGCCCACCGCGGCACCGGCGGCGCUGCGCAGGCUGGCUGUGGGGCGCGCAGAUAGCCGCCUCGAUGUGUCACCUCCUCUUAGGUGUCGCACCACGAGCGGGUAUUAAAAGGGGCUGACAGUGCUGGGAAGGGUGAGCUGGCCACGUCCACGGCCUCAAUCCUCGGCUGCUGGGAGCUGGCAUCACAGAGAAGCGCAGACAGCAGCCUGGGAUGUUAUCAGCCCUGCGUGUGAUUGCCUUUGCUUUCCUGGGUGCUGCUUUUUGGGAGUUCCCGUCUAGCCCAGCACUGAAAAGCCCUCUCCUUUUACAAGCAAGGGAGAGACGGUGAGAAGGAAACCCCCCAAAGAAAGAACUUUGUGGAAAAAGCCCUACCUGAGCUCUGGGUUACAAUGAGAUAAAAGCAGGCAGGGAGAGGCAAGUUCCCCUUCAGAUGCCUGGGACCUGGGCCUUGCACUGAGCUCCUGUGCCAGGGCUGUGCUGUGUCCCCAGCUGCAGGGCCAGCACUGACCCCCCCCCCCCCCCCCCCAGGAUGCACCCAGCUCACACACUGCUCCCUUCAGCCUGAUCUUUCAUUUCAUUGUUCACGUUGCACCUAAAGCCUCAAAAAUGAUGGGGGGAGGAAUCUGGUUCACAUUGGUUUUUCUUCCCCUUUGUCACUUCUGCUGGGUGUCAGCCUGGCUCAGGUGGCCUCAGAGAUAAAUGCCACCAUGCACCUCACAGCCAGCAGUGCAGAAUUGCCUGCAAUGCAUUUGCCAGCAUCAAAGCCUUCUAAGAACUAUGUUAAAAUAUAACAUUUCCUUACUUUUUUGUUGUUGUUGUUGUUCAUUAAUGACACUAAUUGGUUGUCCCAGUUGUGCAGAUCCCACCGGGGCAGGAGGUGUUCUGAUUAUUCCCUUUGUUUACGGUAUUAGACUUCGACUAUUGUUGGUCUCAUUGUUCUUAUUUGCAGCAUGUUUGCCUCACCAGGACAGUAAUUGUGUCAGGCAAGUUGGAGACCAAUCUGUGGAGCUGAACGCUCGGAACUGUGAGAGAAAGGCUCCAAUUUCUCAAGCAGCGGGCGCAUUACUCCUCCACUUGAGUUAUUAAAUUCUAAUUAUAGCCUGUUGAUCCAGUUACAAUGUUGUUUGUAAAUCUAAAUACAGUUCUCCAAAGCCUGUUUCUUAACCUGUUGAUACUUGGUUAAA
Tympanuchus pallidicinctus (lesser prairie-chicken) is the source of this 2274-nucleotide long non-coding RNA. RefSeq lists it as uncharacterized. Lineage: Eukaryota; Metazoa; Chordata; Aves; Galliformes; Phasianidae. The transcript is spliced from 2 exons. The record is from RefSeq and is a predicted model, not a curated record.